GCUGGCGGCGUGCCUAACACAUGCAAGUCGAACGAGAAAGGGGAGCAAUCCCUGAGUAAAGUGGCGACCGGGUGAGUAACACGUGACUAACCUACCCUCGUGUGUGGAAUAACAUCGGGAAACCGACGCUAAUACCGCAUAAUAUCGGCGCUUUUUAAUAAGUGCCGAUCAAAGGAGCAAUCCGCUUGAGGAGGGGGUCGCGGCUGAUUAGCUAGUUGGCGGGGUAACGGCCCACCAUGGCGAAGAUCGGUAGCCGGCCUGAGAGGGCGCACGGCCACACUGGAACUGAAACACGGUCCAGACUCCUACGGGAGGCAGCAGUGGGGAAUUUUGCGCAAUGGGGGAAACCCUGACGCAGCAACGCCGCGUGGAGGAUGAAGCCCCUUGGGGCGUAAACUCCUUUCGACCAAGACGAUAAUGACGGUACUGGUGGAAGAAGCACCGGCUAACUCUGUGCCAGCAGCCGCGGUAAUACAGAGGGUGCAAGCGUUGUUCGGAAUUAUUGGGCGUAAAGGGCGCGUANGCGGCGCGACAAGUCACCUGUGAAAUCCCCGGGCUUAACUCGGGGCCUGCAGGCGAAACUGUCGUGCUGGA
This 594-nucleotide ribosomal RNA is filed under the name uncultured bacterium. Its description in RNAcentral is "bacterial SSU rRNA". It matches the Rfam family "Bacterial small subunit ribosomal RNA", at positions 35 to 645 of the family's 1533-position model. The record is from RNAcentral.